GAGCAAGGGUCCUAGUUGUGACCCUGUGUAUGAGGACUGCCUAUUGUGCAGAGGGUGUUCAGCGGGGAUCUCAUAGACACUAACGAGCUUGAUCAGCAGAGGAUGCAAUGGAGCUAUGUACGUGAGAAGUUAUACCAUUCACGAAGCACACGUCAGACACUGAACGCCGUCUUAAGGAGACUAAUAAACCAAACGAAGGCCUGGAUAAGCAAUAAUGACCUGACUAUAACCAGAGACAAUAAGAGCAAAUGAAUGGUCCUACUUAAAAAGGCUAAUUAUGACACUUGUCUCCUAGAUUAUCUGCAAGAUACCUAACCCAAGCUCCUACAACAUGACCCCACUAACCAAGUGAAGACUAUCACCCAGAGAAUUAUGAAUGACCCCUCAUUCCUGGCAGUAUGGAGCCAUACGAAAGUCUGUGCUGCAACAUGCACUCGCCUCUUCGCAUAUGUGAAAACCCACAAACAGCCACCAAAAUUACAACCUAUUGUCAAAAAAAGAGGGGCCCCUACGUAUAAUCUAGAGAGGAAAAUAGCGAAGUGGUGUACAUCCAUACUCGGCAUGGACAACAACUCUGUCAUCGUACCAUCCGAAGCAUUGAACAGGCUUAAGCAAUAUAAUUAGCAAGGGCAGCACGUACUAGCUACAUUCAAUUUCGAUAACCUGUACCCUUCACUUCGACUGGAGCCCACCUGUUUGAAUUUCUAUAGAU
RNAcentral lists this long non-coding RNA (712 nucleotides) under Androctonus crassicauda. Lineage: Eukaryota; Metazoa; Arthropoda; Arachnida; Scorpiones; Buthidae. The record is from RNAcentral.